AAUAUGGGGGUGGUUCUUCAUCUGCUCUUUGUGCUCUUUCGGAUGGCAAAAUAUCGGCGGGGUCCCGGACACAUCGGGUGUGAUGUUCUCUUGUUAAAGAUAAAAUGGCAAGAGACCAAAAUAAUAAAAUCCUUAAACAAAACAACUGAUAUCUUAUUGGCCGAAACUAUGGAAAUAAUAACAGUUAAAAAAAAUGAAAAUCUUUUGACUGAUAAGCCGGAAAUAGAUUUACCCACACCUUGGAUGUAUCUAAUAAACAGGGCAAGUAACAAAAAUAUGCAGUUAACACUGGGAAUAUAAUUUAAUCUAAUUAGUUAUUAAAAAAAC
RNAcentral lists this long non-coding RNA (327 nucleotides) under Androctonus crassicauda. Lineage: Eukaryota; Metazoa; Arthropoda; Arachnida; Scorpiones; Buthidae. The record is from RNAcentral.